This 497-nucleotide long non-coding RNA is filed under the name Sorghum bicolor (sorghum). RNAcentral describes it as "long non-coding RNA (SBIC_LNC015837)". Lineage: Eukaryota; Viridiplantae; Streptophyta; Magnoliopsida; Poales; Poaceae. The record is from RNAcentral.
GUAUUUUUGGUAUGAGGCAUAGUGACAUUGCCUUCUCUCUCACCCUACUCUAAUAAGGCUUUUGAUAUCUGGAGCUCAUAGGUGGGAGACAGCUAAUACAUACUUACAAGACAUUUAUUGCAUAGUCAAACCAUGGAUCUAGAAGAACAAGUGAAUAAGUCAAAUCAAGAUGUGCAUGUGUGGCGAAUGAAUGGUAUAGGGUAAUGAUGGUGAUAACAAUGGUGAAAGUCUAAUUCUACUUAUGCUCUUUUGAGGGGAUACAUACCUUUCUUGCUCUUUUGAAACUUUUUGAGGAGAAUGAGAUGCUCUAUAUUUUCUUUUUCUUUUCUCUUAGGUGGGUAUCUUGUACCCCUAAUUCUACUGUCGAACACUUGUCCAUUUUUACCUCUCGUCUCACUUUUUCAUUUCUUUCGAGGUUCCGGGCACUUGCCCCUUUUUAUUUCCUCAUAUCUUUUUUUUAGAGCACUCAUCACCUGAAAUAAUAUAGCAAGUGGUAG